GGCCGUCUAGCUCAGUUGGUUAGAGCGUCGUGCUAAUAGUUGCUUGUGUAACUGUGACGCGAAGGUCUUGGGUUCGACCCCCACGAUGGCCA
Non-coding RNA from Mycena alexandri, 92 nucleotides. NCBI's taxonomy places the organism in Eukaryota, Fungi, Basidiomycota, Agaricomycetes, Agaricales, Mycenaceae. The record is from the annotation of a GenBank genome assembly.